RNAcentral lists this small RNA (71 nucleotides) under Salmonella enterica subsp. enterica serovar Agona. Its description in RNAcentral is "partial RtT sRNA". It matches the Rfam family "RtT RNA", at positions 56 to 130 of the family's 130-position model. Rfam says of the family: This family represents a bacterial cis-regulatory element known as RtT RNA. The record is from RNAcentral. Lineage: Bacteria; Pseudomonadati; Pseudomonadota; Gammaproteobacteria; Enterobacterales; Enterobacteriaceae.
UGAAGGAUAACGUUGCGUCAGCAACGGCCCGAAGGGCGAGGCGAAGCCGAGUCAUCCUGCACGACCCACCA